UCACAAGUUCAUGAGAUCGAGACCAUCUUGGCCAACAUGAUGACCGAGAAGCAAGGCUGAGAGAGGUGGAAGCACUCACCCAAAGUUACACAGCCAGGAAAAGACAGAGCCAGGCUGUACUGCAAAGUCAGUUAGUGACCCUGAGGCUGACAGUAACUUGGGGAGAUUCAGCUUAGAUGACAGGGAUGCUGGUUUCUGCAGCAGCCUCUCUGCAACCUGAGGGCAGCAAUGCCGACAGGCAGCAAGCUGCAGGCACACUUGAC
Molecule: long non-coding RNA, 263 nt
Organism: Homo sapiens (human)
Lineage: Eukaryota; Metazoa; Chordata; Mammalia; Primates; Hominidae
Exons: 3
Source: RefSeq, a predicted model, not a curated record